RNAcentral lists this ribosomal RNA (404 nucleotides) under uncultured bacterium. RNAcentral's name for it is "bacterial SSU rRNA". It matches the Rfam family "Bacterial small subunit ribosomal RNA", at positions 28 to 429 of the family's 1533-position model. The record is from RNAcentral.
GACGAACGCUGGCGGCGCGCUUUAUACAUGCAAGUCGAACGUGAAGCUCGGAGCUUGCUCCGGGUGGAAAGUGGCGAACGGGUGAGUAUCACGUGAGAAACCUGCCCCGAAGACCGGGAUAACACCGGGAAACCGGUGCUAAUACCGGAUGCCCUCACCGGAUCGCAUGGUCUGGUGAGGAAAUGGAUUCCGCUUCAGGAUGGUCUCGCGGCCUAUCAGCUUGUUGGUGGGGUAANGGCCCACCAAGGCUUCGACGGGUAGCUGGUCUGAGAGGAUGUCCAGCCACACUGGGACUGAGACACGGCCCAGACUCCUACGGGAGGCAGCAGUAGGGAAUCUUGCACAAUGGACGAAAGUCUGAUGCAGCGACGCCGCGUGUGGGAUGACUGCCCUCGGGUUGUAAA